CGGUGAAGUUUAUCAAAGUCAAGUUUACUUUGACCGUAGGGAGUCGCGCUCUUCAGCCCACCGCAGCCCACCGGCGGAGAAAACAAAACAAACGCCGUUUAAUGCCUUCUGUUCACCGAGCGCCGACGCCGUCUUCCUCAGGAGCGUGCAGAGCAGAGAUGGAAAUGAAUACCCGCCACCCGCAUUUUCCCUCUGGCGCUAAAUGUUGGAAGGCUACCCGUCACAUUGGCAGAAGGGUGUGAUGCUGCCGUACAGACCAACAGACGCACACGGCGUGAGCUGCUGGAUGUGGGGAAUGACGCCGCCGCCAGCUGUUGUGUACAAAUCGUGACAUGAACACUGAGGCGCCCGCUGAGAGAGCGAAGCCUGCUGUUGACACAGUUGCUGCUGGCUGUUUCACGCUCCAGGUGAACCAACCACAGCAAAGCAGAGGACCACGAUUCAGUUCAAAGCAAGGAGGGACGACAGGAGGAGGGUCUCUGGUGCUGCUCACUGUGAUGAGGAUCUUCAGUGAGGCGACGAUCAGGUCAACCCAACAAGUGAAAGGGUUUUGAGAUUUCCUCCGUGAACGUCAACGCCCGACACGCCGCUACAUAUCCAUCGUGGUUUGGGACAACGGAACGUGGAUCGGGUCUGAGGCGUGUGCGAGCGGUCUCCCUGCGUCACGCUGAACCCAGGCUGUCAAAACCGCAGAACUUCCACCGCUUCUCCAGGGUCGCACCAACGCCGCUCAGCUCCUGCCUGAACAUGCUGGGCAGACGGACCAUCAGACGCUCCAGCUCCCCCGCCGACACCUGAGGGGGAGACGGGUACUCCAGGUUGGCCCCGAACGGAUGGACGUGGAGGAAGGUCGAUAUGAUGCCUGCAGAGAAGAAGUGAAGAAAGGUCAGACGAGCACAGACUGAAGGGACAUCCAGAGGUCAAACACGUCUCACUGUCAGACGGCCAGCAACAGAAGCAGAGAAUGGCCUCGCCGUUACUGGCCAGCAGCUGCAGAGACAGACAAGAGGACAACUGAUCAGUCGCAGUGAAAACCCAGCGGAGAAAGAGAUCAGAGGCGGGUGUCGGUCUGUCUGUCUGCGAGGGCGAAGCAUCCAGAAAAACAACAACAACAAGGGCAGCGAACACAACAGAUCCUGCAGGGCUGUCUGUCAGCUCUCCUGCGGACUCAGAAAUGACAGCAGAGAAGAAAAGCAGUGCGCCGGGGAGGGAGGAGAGAACAGAAGAAGGUUUACCAACCUCACACUGCUUGCGCCAAAUGUCUAUGUUCUUGCGCUGUGCUUUUGAGAAAUGGUCCCACGCCUUUUGCCUGGUGGCGGCGCUGAAAACGGUGGUGAUCUGCUCGACUUUGGGGUGAACAGGGAGGAGGAGGAGGAGGAGGAGGAAGGGAGGAGGGUCAAGACAAAACAAGCCGUUUAUGUAGCGUUGUAGCACUGACUGAGGCUCGUACAGCGGGCACAGGAGAGACUGUGCACAUUCACGGACCACAGCCUGGUGGACGCAGCAGGACGGCCGCCUGCUGUGGACACUUCACUCCAAAAAGGAAAACGGGCAUCAUCUGCUCAGGUCAAACUCCAUGAGGGUUCGUUCAAGGGAUCAAGGUUUUUUGGCCCAGAUCAAAGACUUUUAAUAUCGAGUAUCUGAGCUACUGAGUCGAUUUACCUAAAUGUUGAAUAAAUAUCUGAAACCUUGCUGUACAGACCAGGAUAAUAGGGCCGAUUUUGGGUCCGAGUCACCCUCCCCACAGUCGUUCCAGAGCCGAGGCUGAACAGAUAUUCUUUAUGCAACUGUGAAGCUAAAGCAGCCAUGCUCGUCUGCAGACAUAAACUACAGGCAGUGCUCCUCUGAACUCCUGCAGAGACUCGCUGAGCAGAUGAUGACCGUAUGUGAAGCAAAGUCCCAAAUGUUUCAUUAAAACAUCACUUUUAUCUGCAGAAUAAAUAAAGCAAAUGUUAUUAUAGGAAAUCAGACUGAAUGCAAAAUAAUAGUUUGAUUCAGGGAGGAAAACGGAUUGGAACCAACAGAUUAUUAGUUAGCGUCCCCUAAAAACAGAUGAAUUGUGUUGUUAUAUUUCGGCCUGCGAUGUGUGUCACGGGAUGAGCAGGUCUCUCCUGGCCGGCGCUCUGUACUUACAUCACCCGCAGCUUCACUUCCUUCAGGACUGACAAAGGCAGCAUUUAUUCAGGAUGGAUGCUGAUCUUCAGACACAAGAUGAGUGUCGUCUCGUGUCACAUUACGUGUAAGGAAGUUGUAAUGUAAUGACUUUAAAGUGCUGUUUUUAAAAAUCAAACAUUCUGAAUUAAAAUGCUCCCUUUCAAAGAUUUGCUUUGACAUUUCGUUUUGCUGUCAAACUAAAACAUUUCUGACACUAGCAUCAUUUAGACUUCAACAUCUGUACUGAGAUCUGAUCACCCAGAAACAAAUGUAUGGCAAACCAUUUUAAAUUUCAUUCCUCAAAACUUACUAUUUAAAAGCUCCUAGUAUUUAUUUAUUAGUUACUAGUAUCUCCAUUUUACUAGAACCUACU
This is a long non-coding RNA of Micropterus dolomieu (smallmouth bass), 2527 nucleotides long. RefSeq lists it as uncharacterized. The transcript is spliced from 7 exons. The record is from RefSeq and is a predicted model, not a curated record. Lineage: Eukaryota; Metazoa; Chordata; Actinopteri; Centrarchiformes; Centrarchidae.